GGGUUUUUUAUUUUAUACUUCAAAUCUUGAAUUUAUUUUUUAUGUUUUUUAAAUGUUUAUUUUUUUGAAUGUUUGAUUUAAAAAAAUAUAAAAAAUAAAAUAGAUAUUGACAUGGAUUAAACAAAGAUAUAUAUUAUUCUAUGUUGCAUAAACAAAUUGGCAAAGUAA
Molecule: unclassified non-coding RNA, 168 nt
Filed under: [Borrelia] lusitaniae
Lineage: Bacteria; Pseudomonadati; Spirochaetota; Spirochaetia; Spirochaetales; Borreliaceae
Description: Borreliella lusitaniae partial 5S-23S ribosomal RNA intergenic spacer
Source: RNAcentral